UCUCCGUAGGUGAACCUGCGGAGGGAUCAUUACAGAGUUUUUGCCCGCAAGGGUAGAUCUCCCACCCUAUGUUAUUCCUUCUCUGUUGCUUUGGCGGGCCGUCCGGCCUCGGUCAGGCCACCGGCUCCGGCUGGUGCGCGCCCGCCAGAGGACCCCAAACCCUAAAUGUCAGUGUCGUCUGAGUACUAUAUAAUAGUUAAAACUUUCAACAACGGAUCUCUCGGUUCUG
RNAcentral lists this unclassified non-coding RNA (229 nucleotides) under plant metagenome. RNAcentral describes it as "partial contains small subunit ribosomal RNA, internal transcribed spacer 1, and 5.8S ribosomal RNA". The record is from RNAcentral.